RNAcentral lists this long non-coding RNA (371 nucleotides) under Dermacentor andersoni. RNAcentral describes it as "uncharacterized LOC126548619". Lineage: Eukaryota; Metazoa; Arthropoda; Arachnida; Ixodida; Ixodidae. The record is from RNAcentral.
GCAUUAGGUAGUCGUAAAUUGUGAUUUUUAAAUUUGCAUAACUCUGACUCGUCCGGCUAGUGGCACUAAUUGGCGUGGAAACUGCCGAACAGCGCGCGAGCAGUCACGUUCGAUUGGAAAGAAAGAAGUUGAAGCCGCAAGAAUCGUGACGGGCGUGAGGAGUCGUACAUUUUAUAAACAAACGGAGACGACGUUUCAAGUGCCAACUUGUUAUGCGCAGCAGCGGCCAGGAACAGCGCUCCGUGGUGAUGCUACAUCGAUUCGUGCGCACCAAGGUCACCAGCAGCCGCUCAAGACCACCAAGCCCCUCUAAGGAACACCUGGUGCCUAGCACCCAUUUGCCCAAGCCAUUUUAUCUGGCACGGACAAGA